UUCAAUUCUCACCAUAAUUUAUUACAGAACAUAGAGAUGACUCGAAGGAACUGGACUUUUCCUGCAUUUUACUUGGACAAUAAUAUUUCUUAAUUUCUUGAGAUGGAAAAUUGACAACAGUCUAUCUUCAGUAAUUUUAUUAAAAAAAAAACCGCAUAAAAAAAAAACAAUCUUUUUCAUAAGGUUAGAACAUGCUGGCACAACGGGACUGGAUAAGGGGGGCGCGGCGCCAACUGCAUUGCUGACAGGCAUGCAUUGACCGGUGAUUGGUGCUUUAAGAGAUCAACCUGACCUGACAUGCAUUUCAAUCAUGGCUUAAACUACCAAACACAGCUCUUCGCAUCAAACUCAAAAAGCUGCCCUUCGCAUCAAAAUCAAAAAGCGACACAACAAAUCAGUUUUAUGAGCUGCUUCAAAUCCUUCAAAGCAAGUACAUGUCUCCUGCACAGAAAAACCAAAAGGCUGCCUGGAUCCAAAGUAAACCUCCAGAAAACGGUUUUGUAACCCACCAUGCAAUUGCGGAAAUCGAAGUGGCAAAUGGAUUGGUUAAAAACAGAAAACAUAAACCAAAGUAUUCAUUUAAAACCAACAGAACGGAAAUUCUGCUGUUGAUCUCGAGCAAGCCAACUAUGUGAUCACCACGGCACCAUAAUCACCUCAUGUAUCUGUGAACCUUAUCCAAGAA
This is a long non-coding RNA of Populus euphratica (Euphrates poplar), 685 nucleotides long. RefSeq lists it as uncharacterized. The record is from RefSeq and is a predicted model, not a curated record. NCBI's taxonomy places the organism in Eukaryota, Viridiplantae, Streptophyta, Magnoliopsida, Malpighiales, Salicaceae. The transcript has 3 exons.